RNAcentral lists this ribosomal RNA (466 nucleotides) under uncultured bacterium. RNAcentral describes it as "partial 16S ribosomal RNA". It matches the Rfam family "Bacterial small subunit ribosomal RNA", at positions 28 to 507 of the family's 1533-position model. The record is from RNAcentral.
GACGAACGCUGGCGGCGUGCUUAACACAUGCAAGUCGAACGGAAAGGCCCUGCUUGCAGGGUACUCGAGUGGCGAACGGGUGAGUAACACGUGGGUGAUCUGCCCUGCACUUCGGGAUAAGCUUGGGAAACUGGGUCUAAUACCGGAUAGGAACCAUCUUUAGUGUGGUGGUUGGAAAGUUUUUUCGGUGUAGGAUGAGCUCGCGGCCUAUCAGCUUGUUGGUGGGGUAAUGGCCUACCAAGGCGGCGACGGGUAGCCGGCCUGAGAGGGUGUACGGCCACAUUGGGACUGAGAUACGGCCCAGACUCCGACGGGAGGCAGCAGUGGGGAAUAUUGCACAAUGGGCGCAAGCCUGAUGCAGCGACGCCGCGUGGGGGAUGAAGGCCUUCGGGUUGUAAACUCCUUUCGCUAGGGACGAAGCUUUGUUGUGACGGUACCUAGAGAAGAAGCACCGGCUAACUACGUG